AUUGCAGAGAAAUCUGGAAAAGUUCUGUCUGGGAAGGACAGCCACAUUGUCUUAAAUGUGUUUAAGGUGGAUGUGAACUAUUUAUCGAAAUUGGAUAGAAAAGUGGCAGGUGUGCUCUGGGGAGCAGGGGCUGAGCAACACGUGCUUUUACACUUUCUAAAUGACAAGAAUGUUAUUGGAAUUCCACCUCUAGCUCCAAACCAAAAAUUAAAGCAAAGGGUGCAGGAAAAAGAAGUGGAAGACCUGAAAGCUGUGGAAAAUAUGG
Molecule: long non-coding RNA, 265 nt
Filed under: Zonotrichia albicollis (white-throated sparrow)
Lineage: Eukaryota; Metazoa; Chordata; Aves; Passeriformes; Passerellidae
Description: lncRNA (ENSZALG00000011812.1)
Source: RNAcentral